GACGAACGCUGGCGGCGUGCUUAACACAUGCAAGUCGAACGGAAAGGCCCUGCUUUUGUGGGGUGCUCGAGUGGCGAACGGGUGAGUAACACGUGAGUAACCUGCCCUUGACUUUGGGAUAACUUCAGGAAACUGGGGCUAAUACCGGAUAGGAGCUCCUGCUGCAUGGUGGGGGUUGGAAAGUUUCGGCGGUUGGGGAUGGACUCGCGGCUUAUCAGCUUGUUGGUGGGGUAGUGGCCUACCAAGGCUUUGACGGGUAGCCGGCCUGAGAGGGUGACCGGCCACAUUGGGACUGAGAUACGGCCCAGACUCCUACGGGAGGCAGCAGUGGGGAAUAUUGCACAAUGGGCGGAAGCCUGAUGCAGCAACGCCGCGUGCGGGAUGACGGCCUUCGGGUUGUAAACCGCUUUCGCCUGUGACGAAGCGUGAGUGACGGUAAUGGGUAAAGAAGCACCGGCUAACUACGU
Molecule: ribosomal RNA, 467 nt
Filed under: uncultured bacterium
Lineage: Bacteria
Description: partial 16S ribosomal RNA
Rfam family: Bacterial small subunit ribosomal RNA
Source: RNAcentral